Cyanistes caeruleus (blue tit) is the source of this 1721-nucleotide long non-coding RNA. NCBI's taxonomy places the organism in Eukaryota, Metazoa, Chordata, Aves, Passeriformes, Paridae. The record is from Ensembl.
CGAUUUUUGGGGUAUUUUGGGGCAAUUUUGGGGAUUAUUUUGGGUCGAUUUUUGGGGUAUUUNNNNNNNNNNNNNNNNNNNNACCUGAGACACACCUGGGGACACCUGGGGACACCUGGGGACACCUGGGGACACCUGGAACACACCUGGGGACACCUGGGGACACCUGAGACACACCUGGGACACACCUGGGGACACCUGGAACACACCUGGGGACACCUGGGGACACCUGAACAUCACGUGGGGACACCUGGGGACACCUGGGGGGAUAAAAACACACCUGGGACACACCUGGGACACACCUGGGCACACCUGGGGACACCUGGGGACACCUGGGACACACCUGGGGACACACCUGGCGUCACACCUGUGCUCACCUGUCCCCUCCCCCGCAGGUCCCUGGGAGCCGCCGCAGGUGCGGCCGCUUCAGGUGAAGCCCGGGCCCUGCCCCCCCCAAAACAAUUCCCAAAAUUCCUCAAAUCCCGAAAGUUUCUGCCUCGAUCUCAGCCCCGGGAGCCCGGAGUGCCAGGCGGAUUUGGGGUCCCCCCUGGCCUGCCAGGAGCGGGGGCUGGGGCUGAUCUGGGGGGGAUUUGGGGCAUUUUGGGGUGAAUUUUGGGGUCUUUUGGGUCAUUUUUGGGGUAUUUUGGGGGCUGAUUUUAGGGUGGUUUUGGGGUUGAUUUUGGGGCGAAUUUUGGGGUAUUUGGGGCAUUUUUGGGGUUGAUUUUGGGGCAGUUUUGAGGUGAUUUUUGGGGCAUUUUUGGGGUAUUUUUGGGACAAUUUUUGGGGCAUUUUGGGGCAUUUUUGGGGUUGAUUUUGGGUCGAUUUUUGGGGUAUUUUGGGGUUGAUUUUGGGGUGGUUUUGUGGCGAUUUUUGGGGUGAUUUUGGGGCCUUUUGGGGCGAUUUUUGAGGUAUUUUGGGCCGAUUUUAGGGUUGAUUUUGGGUCGAUUUUUGGGGUAUUUUGGGGCAUUUUUGGGGAUAAUUUUGGGUCGAUUUUUGGGGUAUUUUGGGGCCUUUUGGGAGUGGAUUUUUGGGAUAUUUUGGGGCAAUUUUGGGGUGUUUUUGGGACAAUUUUUGGGGUAUUUUGGGGCAUUUUUGGGGCAGAUUUUGGGUCGAUUUUUGGGGUAUUUUGGGGCAUUUUAGGGUUGAUUUUGGGUCCAUUUUUGGGGUAUUUUGGGGCCUUUUGGGGGUUGAUUUUGGGGUGGUUUUGGGACAAUUUUUGGGGUAUUUUGGGGCAUUUUUGGGGAUAAUUUCGGGUCGAUUUUUGGGGUAUUUUGGGGCAGUUUUGGGGUGUUUUUGGGUCGAUUUUUGGGGUAUUUUGGGGCAGUUUUGGGGUGAAUUUCAGGUCGAUUUUUGGGAUAUUUUGGGUCGAUUUUGGGUUAUUUCCGGCCGAUUUUUUCGGGGUUUUUCACCAUUCUAACCCCGGAUUUUUUAUUUUUUUUUAUUUUUCGGGGUUCCCCCCCCCUUGACCAGGCGGAUUUGGGGUCCCCCCUGGCCUGCCAGGAGCGGGGGCUGGGGCUGAUCUGGGGGGGAUUUGGGGCAUUUUGGGGUGAAUUUUGGGGUCUUUUGGGUCAUUUUUGGGGUAUUUUGGGGGCUGAUUUUAGGGUGGUUUUGGGGUUGAUUUUGGGGCGAAUUUUGGGGUAUUUGGGGCAUUUUUGGGGUUGAUUUUGGGGCAGUUUUGAGGUGAUUUUUGGGGCAUUUUUGGGGUAUUUUUGGGACAAUUU